UCAGAGCAGGACCCGGUGACAUCAUCUUCGUUGAAGUGUUUUAAUAAUGUUGUGGUUUCUCAGGACUUUCUAUGUCCUAGCAUGGGUGGGGUGUGUGUGUGUCCGGUGUGUGUGUGGCAUCAACAUUUCUCCACAGCAGCUCUGAGUUGAGCUGAUGAGCUCUGCACACCUGACCAGGAUCUCCUCAUCAGCUCAGGAGUGUUUAGAGGCCAGGUCGUCAGGUACUCAGAGCUGGAACUUCUCCUCUGACCAUGUGGUAACUAGAACUCGUUGUCGUAGUGACAUACCUGUGGUGAUGAUCUGCAGUAAUUGAUCCUCUUGUUCUCUGCUUGGUAGAUUUUUGGAUUUCGACCGCCCUGUGUACUCAGAGAACAGGAAAACCAGCUCACAUUACUCAGCGCUUCUUUAAGACUGCAGCCUGCUAUGAUUUAGAUGAGCCGUGUCACCUGGGCUGUGAUUGAAAGGACCUUUUCUUCACACCCAUCCUGUGAGACUUUCCCCGACUUGGCAUCUUUGCUGCGCCCAAUGAGUUGCCAUGCAGCAAAGACACACAGACAGAUCUGACAAGCAAUUAUGCCAUGGUUGUUCUUUUUAGCAGUGAUGGGAUGAGCUCUGGCCUGCUGGCAAAACAUGAGCAUGAGGACAUGGGAGAUGGAACGCUCCCAUGUGAUUGACAUCUGGGUGGCAGGAUUACCGAUCUCAAGAUUAUUUUUUUGUUUGACUUUUUAUGUUUUUCCAAGACUUGAGUCCCCUCAAUACAAGUAUAAUUUUGUUUUUUAAUAUAGUACAAAGCCCUCAGAUUAGAAUGACUUCUUGGUUUUUGUUAAAUUAAAAAUGUAU
Cynoglossus semilaevis (tongue sole) is the source of this 840-nucleotide long non-coding RNA. RefSeq lists it as uncharacterized. The transcript has 5 exons. The record is from RefSeq and is a predicted model, not a curated record. NCBI's taxonomy places the organism in Eukaryota, Metazoa, Chordata, Actinopteri, Pleuronectiformes, Cynoglossidae.